GCGGUCAUGGCGGAAUGGCAGACGCGCCAGCUUGAGGGGCUGGUGGGGGCAACCCCGUGGAAGUUCGAGUCUUCUUGGCCGCAUCA
Molecule: transfer RNA, 86 nt
Filed under: Enterococcus quebecensis
Lineage: Bacteria; Bacillati; Bacillota; Bacilli; Lactobacillales; Enterococcaceae
Also listed under: 1 other name
Description: tRNA-Leu
Rfam family: tRNA
About the family: Transfer RNA (tRNA) molecules are approximately 80 nucleotides in length. Their secondary structure includes four short double-helical elements and three loops (D, anti-codon, and T loops). Further hydrogen bonds mediate the characteristic L-shaped molecular structure. tRNAs have two regions of fundamental functional importance: the anti-codon, which is responsible for specific mRNA codon recognition, and the 3' end, to which the tRNAs corresponding amino acid is attached (by aminoacyl-tRNA synthetases). tRNAs cope with the degeneracy of the genetic code in two manners: having more than one tRNA (with a specific anti-codon) for a particular amino acid; and 'wobble' base-pairing, i.e. permitting non-standard base-pairing at the 3rd anti-codon position.
Source: RNAcentral